RNAcentral lists this ribosomal RNA (253 nucleotides) under uncultured bacterium. RNAcentral's name for it is "partial 16S ribosomal RNA". It matches the Rfam family "Bacterial small subunit ribosomal RNA", at positions 524 to 776 of the family's 1533-position model. The record is from RNAcentral.
UACGUAGGUGGCAAGCGUUGUCCGGAUUUACUGGGUGUAAAGGGCGUGUAGGCGGGAGAGCAAGUCAGGCGUGAAAACUAUGGGCUUAACCCAUAGCCUGCGUUUGAAACUGUUUUUCUUGAGUACUGGAGAGGUUGACGGAAUUCCUUGUGUAGCGGUGAAAUGCGUAGAUAUAAGGAGGAACACCAGUGGCGAAGGCGGUCAACUGGACAGCAACUGACGCUGAGGCGCGAAAGCGUGGGGAGCAAACAGG